UAAACAUUGAUAGCUAUCAUACAAUGCUUUCCGCCAGAGAACUACAAGUGAAAAACUUGAAACUCAAAGGACUUGACGGUGUCCCAUAUCGACCUAGAGGAGCCUGUCCUAUAAUCGAUACCCCCCGUUCCACCCAACCCCAACUAGCAAUAAAACAGCCUAUAUACCGCCGUCGACAGUCUACCCUAUGAAGGCCCAACAGUAGAUACAAUAGUCCCCCACUAAUACGACAGGUCAAGGUGUAGCAAAUGCUGGGGAAGAGAUUGGCUACAUUUUUUAUGAUAAAAAAUACGAAAUGCACUAUGAAACACUGCAUGAAGGCGAAUUUAGUAGUAAAAUAAAUAAGAGUAUUUAUUUUAACAAC
This 364-nucleotide ribosomal RNA is filed under the name Teira dugesii (Madeira wall lizard). RNAcentral's name for it is "partial 12S ribosomal RNA". It matches the Rfam family "Bacterial small subunit ribosomal RNA", at positions 803 to 1370 of the family's 1533-position model. The record is from RNAcentral. Lineage: Eukaryota; Metazoa; Chordata; Lepidosauria; Squamata; Lacertidae.